GAUGAACGCUAGCGGCAGGCUUAACACAUGCAAGUCGAGGGGCAGCGCGGGAUAGCAAUAUCCUGGCGGCGACCGGCGGAAGGGUGCGUAACGCGUGAGCGACAUGCCCGUUGCCCGGGGACAACCGGUGGAAACGCCGACUAAUCCCCGAUGGGAUAUUGUGCCGCAUGGCACGAUAUUGAAAGUUACGGCGGCGACGGAUUGGCUCGCGUCCGAUUAGCUGGUUGGCGGGGUAACGGCCCACCAAGGCUGCGAUCGGUAGGGGUUCUGAGAGGAAGGCCCCCCACAAUGGGACUGAGACACGGCCCAUACUCCUACGGGAGGCAGCAGUGGGGAAUAUUGGUCAAUGGGCGGAAGCCUGAACCAGCCAUGCCGCGUGCGGGAAGGAGGCCCUAUGGGCUGUGAACCGCUUUUGCCUGGGGGCAAUAAGGGCGUCGCGCACGUCCGAUGAGAGUACCAGGCGAAUAAGCAUCGGCUAACUCCGUG
This 486-nucleotide ribosomal RNA is filed under the name uncultured bacterium. RNAcentral describes it as "partial 16S ribosomal RNA". It matches the Rfam family "Bacterial small subunit ribosomal RNA", at positions 28 to 507 of the family's 1533-position model. The record is from RNAcentral.